RNAcentral lists this ribosomal RNA (393 nucleotides) under uncultured Paraphysomonas. RNAcentral's name for it is "partial small subunit ribosomal RNA". It matches the Rfam family "Eukaryotic small subunit ribosomal RNA", at positions 30 to 432 of the family's 1831-position model. Lineage: Eukaryota; Chrysophyceae; Chromulinales. The record is from RNAcentral.
GCUUGUCUCAAAGAUUAAGCCAUGCAUGUCUUAGUGUAAAUAACUCUUAUGAAACUGCGAAUGGCUCAUUAAAUCAGUUAUCAAAUACGUGAUGGUCGCCUACUACAUGGAUAACCGUAGUAAUUCUAGAGCUAAUACAUGCAUCAAACCUCGACUUUUUUGGAAGAGGUGUAUUUAUUAGAUGGAAACCAAUGCGGGGCAACCCGGAUUCAGGUGAUUCAUAAUAACUUUCGGAUCGAUCUUCGGAUCGAUGCAUCAUUCAAGUUUCUGCCCUAUCAGCUUUGGAUGGUAGGGUAUUGGCCUACCAUGGCUUUAACGGGUAACGGAGAAUUAGGGUUCGAUUCCGGAGAGGGAGCCUGAGAAACGGCUACCACAUCCAAGGAAGGCAGCAGG